Molecule: ribosomal RNA, 395 nt
Filed under: uncultured bacterium
Lineage: Bacteria
Description: bacterial SSU rRNA
Rfam family: Bacterial small subunit ribosomal RNA
Source: RNAcentral
ACCUUUAACAGGGGAAUAACCCGUUGAAAAACGGACUAAUACUCCAUAACACAGGGGUCCCGCAUGGGAAUAUUUGUUAAAGAUUUAUCGGUUGAAGAUGGGCAUGCGUUCCAUUAGCUUGUUGGUGAGGUAACGGCUCACCAAGGCUACGAUGGAUAGGGGAACUGAGAGGUUUAUCCCCCCACACUGGAACUGAGACACGGUCCAGACUCCUACGGGAGGCAGCAGUGAGGAAUAUUGGUCAAUGGAGGCAACUCUGAACCAGCCAAGUCGCGUGAAGGAUGAAGGUCUUAUGGAUUGUAAACUUCUUUUUCAAGGGAAUAAAGUGGGGACGUGUCCCUCCUUUCGCAUGUACCUUGCGAAUAAGGAUCGGCUAACUCCGUGCCAGCCGCAGC